RNAcentral lists this ribosomal RNA (2921 nucleotides) under Staphylococcus aureus DAR5894. RNAcentral's name for it is "bacterial LSU rRNA". It matches the Rfam family "Bacterial large subunit ribosomal RNA". RNAcentral also lists the same sequence under 9 other names. Lineage: Bacteria; Bacillati; Bacillota; Bacilli; Caryophanales; Staphylococcaceae. The record is from RNAcentral.
UUAAGUUAUUAAGGGCGCACGGUGGAUGCCUUGGCACUAGAAGCCGAUGAAGGACGUUACUAACGACGAUAUGCUUUGGGGAGCUGUAAGUAAGCUUUGAUCCAGAGAUUUCCGAAUGGGGAAACCCAGCAUGAGUUAUGUCAUGUUAUCGAUAUGUGAAUACAUAGCAUAUCAGAAGGCACACCCGGAGAACUGAAACAUCUUAGUACCCGGAGGAAGAGAAAGAAAAUUCGAUUCCCUUAGUAGCGGCGAGCGAAACGGGAAGAGCCCAAACCAACAAGCUUGCUUGUUGGGGUUGUAGGACACUCUAUACGGAGUUACAAAGGACGACAUUAGACGAAUCAUCUGGAAAGAUGAAUCAAAGAAGGUAAUAAUCCUGUAGUCGAAAAUGUUGUCUCUCUUGAGUGGAUCCUGAGUACGACGGAGCACGUGAAAUUCCGUCGGAAUCUGGGAGGACCAUCUCCUAAGGCUAAAUACUCUCUAGUGACCGAUAGUGAACCAGUACCGUGAGGGAAAGGUGAAAAGCACCCCGGAAGGGGAGUGAAAUAGAACCUGAAACCGUGUGCUUACAAGUAGUCAGAGCCCGUUAAUGGGUGAUGGCGUGCCUUUUGUAGAAUGAACCGGCGAGUUACGAUUUGAUGCAAGGUUAAGCAGUAAAUGUGGAGCCGUAGCGAAAGCGAGUCUGAAUAGGGCGUUUAGUAUUUGGUCGUAGACCCGAAACCAGGUGAUCUACCCUUGGUCAGGUUGAAGUUCAGGUAACACUGAAUGGAGGACCGAACCGACUUACGUUGAAAAGUGAGCGGAUGAACUGAGGGUAGCGGAGAAAUUCCAAUCGAACCUGGAGAUAGCUGGUUCUCUCCGAAAUAGCUUUAGGGAUAGCCUCAAGUGAUGAUUAUUGGAGGUAGAGCACUGUUUGGACGAGGGGCCCCUCUCGGGUUACCGAAUUCAGACAAACUCCGAAUGCCAAUUAAUUUAACUUGGGAGUCAGAACAUGGGUGAUAAGGUCCGUGUUCGAAAGGGAAACAGCCCAGACCACCAGCUAAGGUCCCAAAAUAUAUGUUAAGUGGAAAAGGAUGUGGCGUUGCCCAGACAACUAGGAUGUUGGCUUAGAAGCAGCCAUCAUUUAAAGAGUGCGUAAUAGCUCACUAGUCGAGUGACACUGCGCCGAAAAUGUACCGGGGCUAAACAUAUUACCGAAGCUGUGGAUUGUCCUUUGGACAAUGGUAGGAGAGCGUUCUAAGGGCGUUGAAGCAUGAUCGUAAGGACAUGUGGAGCGCUUAGAAGUGAGAAUGCCGGUGUGAGUAGCGAAAGACGGGUGAGAAUCCCGUCCACCGAUUGACUAAGGUUUCCAGAGGAAGGCUCGUCCGCUCUGGGUUAGUCGGGUCCUAAGCUGAGGCCGACAGGCGUAGGCGAUGGAUAACAGGUUGAUAUUCCUGUACCACCUAUAAUCGUUUUAAUCGAUGGGGGGACGCAGUAGGAUAGGCGAAGCGUGCGAUUGGAUUGCACGUCUAAGCAGUAAGGCUGAGUAUUAGGCAAAUCCGGUACUCGUUAAGGCUGAGCUGUGAUGGGGAGAAGACAUUGAGUCUUCGAGUCGUUGAUUUCACACUGCCGAGAAAAGCCUCUAGAUAGAAAAUAGGUGCCCGUACCGCAAACCGACACAGGUAGUCAAGAUGAGAAUUCUAAGGUGAGCGAGCGAACUCUCGUUAAGGAACUCGGCAAAAUGACCCCGUAACUUCGGGAGAAGGGGUGCUCUUUAGGGUUAACGCCCAGAAGAGCCGCAGUGAAUAGGCCCAAGCGACUGUUUAUCAAAAACACAGGUCUCUGCUAAACCGUAAGGUGAUGUAUAGGGGCUGACGCCUGCCCGGUGCUGGAAGGUUAAGAGGAGUGGUUAGCUUCUGCGAAGCUACGAAUCGAAGCCCCAGUAAACGGCGGCCGUAACUAUAACGGUCCUAAGGUAGCGAAAUUCCUUGUCGGGUAAGUUCCGACCCGCACGAAAGGCGUAACGAUUUGGGCACUGUCUCAACGAGAGACUCGGUGAAAUCAUAGUACCUGUGAAGAUGCAGGUUACCCGCGACAGGACGGAAAGACCCCGUGGAGCUUUACUGUAGCCUGAUAUUGAAAUUCGGCACAGCUUGUACAGGAUAGGUAGGAGCCUUUGAAACGUGAGCGCUAGCUUACGUGGAGGCGCUGGUGGGAUACUACCCUAGCUGUGUUGGCUUUCUAACCCGCACCACUUAUCGUGGUGGGAGACAGUGUCAAGCGGGCAGUUUGACUGGGGCGGUCGCCUCCUAAAAGGUAACGGAGGCGCUCAAAGGUUCCCUCAGAAUGGUUGGAAAUCAUUCAUAGAGUGUAAAGGCAUAAGGGAGCUUGACUGCGAGACCUACAAGUCGAGCAGGGUCGAAAGACGGACUUAGUGAUCCGGUGGUUCCGCAUGGAAGGGCCAUCGCUCAACGGAUAAAAGCUACCCCGGGGAUAACAGGCUUAUCUCCCCCAAGAGUUCACAUCGACGGGGAGGUUUGGCACCUCGAUGUCGGCUCAUCGCAUCCUGGGGCUGUAGUCGGUCCCAAGGGUUGGGCUGUUCGCCCAUUAAAGCGGUACGCGAGCUGGGUUCAGAACGUCGUGAGACAGUUCGGUCCCUAUCCGUCGUGGGCGUAGGAAAUUUGAGAGGAGCUGUCCUUAGUACGAGAGGACCGGGAUGGACAUACCUCUGGUGUACCAGUUGUCGUGCCAACGGCAUAGCUGGGUAGCUAUGUGUGGACGGGAUAAGUGCUGAAAGCAUCUAAGCAUGAAGCCCCCCUCAAGAUGAGAUUUCCCAACUUCGGUUAUAAGAUCCCUCAAAGAUGAUGAGGUUAAUAGGUUCGAGGUGGAAGCAUGGUGACAUGUGGAGCUGACGAAUACUAAUCGAUCGAAGACUUAAUCAA